UUAGGUGGCCAUGGCGACGGGGCCCACCCCUUACCAUUCCGAACAGGGAAGUUAAGCCCGUCAGCGCCGAUGGUACUGCCACACUAGGUGGGAGAGUAGGUCGCCGCCUUCC
This 112-nucleotide ribosomal RNA is filed under the name Flavobacteriaceae bacterium. Lineage: Bacteria; Pseudomonadati; Bacteroidota; Flavobacteriia; Flavobacteriales; Flavobacteriaceae. The record is from RNAcentral. RNAcentral also lists the same sequence under 1 other name.